GACGAACGCUGGCGGCGUGCUUAACACAUGCCAGUCGAACGGAAAGGCCCUGCUUUUGUGGGGUGCUCGAGUGGCGAACGGGUGAGUAACACGUGAGUAACCUGCCCUUGACUUUGGGAUAACUUCAGGAAACUGGGGCUAAUACCGGAUAGGAGCUCCUGCUGCAUGGUGGGGGUUGGAAAGUUUCGGCGGUUGGGGAUGGACUCGCGGCUUAUCAGCUUGUUGGUGGGGUAGUGGCUUACCAAGGCUUUGACGGGUAGCCGGCCUGAGAGGGUGACCGGCCACGUUGGGACUGAGAUACGGCCCAGACUCCUACGGGAGGCAGCAGUGGGGAAUAUUGCACAAUGGGCGGAAGCCUGAUGCAGCAACGCCGCGUGCGGGAUGACGGCCUUCGGGUUGUAAACCGCUUUCGCCUGUGACGAAGCGUGAGUGACGGUAAUGGGUAAAGAAGCACCGGCUAACUACGUG
RNAcentral lists this ribosomal RNA (468 nucleotides) under uncultured bacterium. RNAcentral's name for it is "partial 16S ribosomal RNA". It matches the Rfam family "Bacterial small subunit ribosomal RNA", at positions 28 to 507 of the family's 1533-position model. The record is from RNAcentral.